Molecule: ribosomal RNA, 488 nt
Filed under: uncultured bacterium
Lineage: Bacteria
Description: partial 16S ribosomal RNA
Rfam family: Bacterial small subunit ribosomal RNA
Source: RNAcentral
GACGAACGCUGGCGGCGUGCUUAACACAUGCAAGUCGAACGGAAAGGCCCUGCUUUUGUGGGGUGCUCGAGUGGCGAACGGGUGAGUAACACGUGAGUAACCUGCCCUUGACUUUGGGAUAACUUCAGGAAACUGGGGCUAAUACCGGAUAGGAGCUCCUGCUGCAUGGUGGGGGUUGGAAAGUUUCGGCGGUUGGGGAUGGACUCGCGGUUUAUCAGCUUGUUGGUGGGGUAGUGGCUUACCAAGGCUUCGACGGGUAGCCGGCCUGAGAGGGUGAUCGGCCACACUGGAACGGAGACACGGUCCAGACGCCUACGGGAGGCAGCAGCAGGGAAUCGUCCGCAAUGGGCGAAAGCCGGACGGAGCAACGCCGCGUGAGUGAUGAAGGUCUUCGGAUCGGAAAGCGCUGUUAGUAGGGAAGAAAAUAUGUGUAAGGAACUGUGCACAUCGUGACGGUACCUAAUCAGAAAGCCACGGCUAACUACGUG